AUGAACGCUGGCGGCGUGCCUAGUACAUGCAAGUCGAGCGAACGGACGAGAAGCUUGCUUCUCUGAUGUUAGCGGCGGACGGGUGAGUAACACGUGGAUAACCUACCUAUAAGACUGGGAUAACUUCGGGAAACCGGAGCUAAUACCGGAUAAUAUUUUGAACCGCAUGGUUCAAAAGUGAAAGACGGUCUUGCUGUCACUUAUAGAUGGAUCCGCGCUGCAUUAGCUAGUUGGUAAGGUAACGGCUUACCAAGGCAACGAUGCAUAGCCGAACUGAGAGGGUGAUCGGCCACACUGGAACUGAGACACGGUCCAGACUCCUACGGGAGGCAGCAGUAGGGAAUCUUCCGCAAAGGGCGAAAGCCUGACGGAGCAACGCCGCGUGAGUGAUGAAGGUCUUCGGAUCGUAAAACUCUGUUAUUAGGGAAGAACAUAUGUGUAAGUAACUGUGCACAUCUUGACGGUACCUAAUCAGAAAGCCACGGCUAACUACGUG
Molecule: ribosomal RNA, 496 nt
Filed under: uncultured bacterium
Lineage: Bacteria
Description: partial 16S ribosomal RNA
Rfam family: Bacterial small subunit ribosomal RNA
Source: RNAcentral